UAAUGUCUGGGAAACGUGCCUGAUGGAGGGGGGUAACUACUGGAAACGGUAGCUAAUACCGCAUAAUGUCGCAAGACCAAAGUGGGGGGACUUCGGGCCUCAUGCCAUCAGAUGUGCCCAGAUGGGAUUAGCUAGUAGGUGGGGUAACGGCUCACCUAGGCGACGAUCCCUAGCUGGUCUGAGAGGAUGACCAGCCACACUGGAACUGAGACACGGUCCAG
RNAcentral lists this ribosomal RNA (221 nucleotides) under uncultured bacterium. Its description in RNAcentral is "partial 16S ribosomal RNA". It matches the Rfam family "Bacterial small subunit ribosomal RNA", at positions 111 to 334 of the family's 1533-position model. The record is from RNAcentral.